Molecule: long non-coding RNA, 761 nt
Filed under: Heterocephalus glaber (naked mole-rat)
Lineage: Eukaryota; Metazoa; Chordata; Mammalia; Rodentia; Bathyergidae
Description: lncRNA (ENSHGLG00000036272.1)
Source: RNAcentral
GGAAAGACCAGUAGAGAGGAAAGAGAAACGGGAACUGGAGGAAGAGAGAAAGUGAGGAGGAGAAUGGAAAGAGAGAGGGGGGGAGGGAAUAACAGUCGUGGAGAGACAAGGAGAGAGAAGAGAAAGAGUGAGGAAGAGAUUGAGUGAGAGGGGAGUCAGAGACUGCAGAAGAGAGAAAGUGGGAAGGAAUGAGAGAGACACUCAGGCACAGACUCUAAACCUGAGAGAAAAAAAGAUUUGGGCUGAAGAAAGACUGGAAAGAGACAGACUGGGAAGAGAGAAAUAGAAAGUGAGACUGGGGAAAGAGACGAUCUAAAAGAAAAGUUGAGUGCGAGAAGGAAAAAAGAGAGAGAGGAGAGAGAGCACAAGACAGUAGACAAAGCAGUGAGAGGGUGCGGGAGUGCUCAGGUGAGGACAGGGACCUGAACUAUGAGGCCCAGUGCUUGAGAGACUGGGGAGGGGGGACUGCAACCGGCGCCCCUCAUCCACAGCUCCUCUCCCUGUCACUGGGAGCCCAGAGCUGGCAGGGUCGGCUGCAGAGCCUCAGCUCUCUCUGCCCCGGGGCUGGAUGGAGGAGGGCCGACCUCGGAGCAGCCUCAGCCUGGCCAGCAGCGCCUCCACCUCUCUUCGCUCAGCACCCUGAGCGCCAAGAAGCCGGCCCGGGCAGUAAACAAGGUCCACACCUUUGGGGAAGAGGAGCAAUGCGCUCCGAAGGGACCCCAACCUGCCUGUACACAUCCGAGGCUGGCUUCACAAGCAGG